AGAGUUUGAUUAUGGCUCAGGAUGAACGCUAGCUACAGGCUUAACACAUGCAAGUCGAGGGGCAGCAUUCCAGUUUGCUUGCAAACUGGAGAUGGCGACCGGCGCACGGGUGAGUAACACGUAUCCAACCUGCCGAUAACUCGGGGAUAGCCUUUCGAAAGAAAGAUUAAUACCCGAUGGCAUAAUAGAACCGCAUGGUUUGAUUAUUAAAGAAUUUCGGUUAUCGAUGGGGAUGCGUUCCAUUAGGCAGUUGGUGGGGUAACGGCCCACCAAACCUUCGAUGGAUAGGGGUUCUGAGAGGAAGGUCCCCCACAUUGGAACUGAGACACGGUCCAA
RNAcentral lists this ribosomal RNA (336 nucleotides) under uncultured bacterium. Its description in RNAcentral is "bacterial SSU rRNA". It matches the Rfam family "Bacterial small subunit ribosomal RNA", at positions 8 to 334 of the family's 1533-position model. The record is from RNAcentral.